Molecule: transfer RNA, 85 nt
Filed under: Felis catus (domestic cat)
Lineage: Eukaryota; Metazoa; Chordata; Mammalia; Carnivora; Felidae
Rfam family: tRNA
About the family: Transfer RNA (tRNA) molecules are approximately 80 nucleotides in length. Their secondary structure includes four short double-helical elements and three loops (D, anti-codon, and T loops). Further hydrogen bonds mediate the characteristic L-shaped molecular structure. tRNAs have two regions of fundamental functional importance: the anti-codon, which is responsible for specific mRNA codon recognition, and the 3' end, to which the tRNAs corresponding amino acid is attached (by aminoacyl-tRNA synthetases). tRNAs cope with the degeneracy of the genetic code in two manners: having more than one tRNA (with a specific anti-codon) for a particular amino acid; and 'wobble' base-pairing, i.e. permitting non-standard base-pairing at the 3rd anti-codon position.
Source: Rfam by way of RNAcentral
ACCUGGGUGGCUCAGUCAGUUAAGCAUCUGACUUCAACUCAGUUCAUGAUCUUGCGGUCUGUGGGUUCGAGCCCCACAUCGGGCU